Molecule: long non-coding RNA, 576 nt
Filed under: Mytilus galloprovincialis (Mediterranean mussel)
Lineage: Eukaryota; Metazoa; Mollusca; Bivalvia; Mytilida; Mytilidae
Source: RNAcentral
GUCGCCGUCAGCUGAAAUUCGUAGCGGUUAUCGGUAAAAAUAAUCUAAACUAUCAAUCGCGUUCACUCGAGAUAUAGUUUUUCACAUUCCAUUCAUAAAUCGCAAAAAGAAAAACCACUACUGACCUAUCUUUUAAGUGAUCGCACUGUAAUAAUCCUGACCUUCACUUUUUCCAGAAUAUUUUCCAUUGUAAUUCCGCCAUCUUCGUUUCUAUGAGGAUCAUUUGUUUACAUAUGACAUUCGUCACUGUACGCAGUUUCCUGAAAUGUUCCUUUCAUUGAUGUGAUAAGGUUUCCCGCGCUUUAUGCAAAUUUUAUGAAAUUGAACUCCACGGAAACACUUCCGGUAAAAACAAUGGCUGAUUCCACCAUUCAAAAUCGCCUAUGAUGGUCCCUUUUUUAGUAUAAUGAAAGAUAUGUAUAAAGAGGUUUUGUACUCGGUAAAGAUCUCGGAAGGUAUCACUGAUUUUUUUUUAAUUCCUCAGUUGGGGUAAAACAAGGGUGUAUUUUAAGCCCUACAUUAUUUUCUUUAUAUAUUAAUGAUUUACCAUCUAUUUUUGACUCAACAUGUGAACCA